RNAcentral lists this ribosomal RNA (468 nucleotides) under uncultured bacterium. Its description in RNAcentral is "partial 16S ribosomal RNA". It matches the Rfam family "Bacterial small subunit ribosomal RNA", at positions 28 to 507 of the family's 1533-position model. The record is from RNAcentral.
GACGAACGCUGGCGGCGUGCUUAACACAUGCAAGUCGAACGGAAAGGCCCUGCUUUUGUGGGGUGCUCGAGUGGCGAACGGGUGAGUAACACGUGAGUAACCUGCCCUUGACUUUGGGAUAACUUCAGGAAACUGGGGCUAAUACCGGAUAGGAGCUCCUGCUGCAUGGUGGGGGUUGGAAAGUUUCGGCGGUUGGGGAUGGACUCGCGGCUUAUCAGCUUGUUGGUGGGGUAGUGGCUUACCAAGGCUUUGACGGGUAGCCGGCCUGAGAGGGUGACCGGCCACAUGGGGACUGAGAUACGGCCAGGACUCCUCCGGGAGGCAGCAGUGGGGAAUAUUGCACAAUGGGCGGAAGCCGGAUGCAGCAACGCCGCGGGCGGGAUGACGGCCUUCGGGUUGUAAACCGCUUUCGCCUGUGACGAGGCGUGAGUGACGGUAAUGGGUAAAGAAGCACCGGCUAACUACGUG